GACGAACGCUGGCGGCGUGCUUAACACAUGCAAGUCGAACGGACUGCUUGGGGGCUUGCUCCUGGGUGGUGAGUGGCGAACGGGUGAGUAACACGUGAGUAACCUGCCCUCUUCUUUGGGAUAACGGCCGGAAACGGCUGCUAAUACCGGGUAUUCACUGGUCUCCGCAUGGGGGUUGGUGAAAAGGGGCCCUUUUUGGGUUUCUGGUGGGGGAUGGGCUCGCGGCUUAUCAGCUUGUUGGUGGGGUGAUGGCUCACCAAGGCUUUGACGGGUAGCCGGCCUGAGAGGGUGACCGGUCACAUUGGGACUGAGAUACGGCCCAGACUCCUACGGGAGGCAGCAGUGGGGAAUUUUGCACAAUGGGCGCAAGCCUGAUGCAGCGACGCCGCGUGAGGGAUGGAGGCCUUCGGGUUGUGAACCUCUUUCGCUCAUGGUCAAGCCGCGGAUGUGUCCG
This 454-nucleotide ribosomal RNA is filed under the name Actinomyces sp. oral taxon C55. RNAcentral's name for it is "bacterial SSU rRNA". It matches the Rfam family "Bacterial small subunit ribosomal RNA", at positions 28 to 466 of the family's 1533-position model. The record is from RNAcentral. Lineage: Bacteria; Bacillati; Actinomycetota; Actinomycetes; Actinomycetales; Actinomycetaceae.